Molecule: long non-coding RNA, 2283 nt
Organism: Cercocebus atys (sooty mangabey)
Lineage: Eukaryota; Metazoa; Chordata; Mammalia; Primates; Cercopithecidae
Exons: 4
Source: RefSeq, a predicted model, not a curated record
CCAACAUAGGCAAUGAGAGUGAAGCUCCAUCUCAAAAAAACAAAAACAAAAACAAAUGUUCUUUCAUAAACUUUGCAUGAACUUUGCAUGGAUGGCUCCUUCUCCUCCCACCAAGUUUCAGCUCAAAUCUGUUGCUCUUGACUACAUUAGUGCAUUUAUUUCUAUUAUAACGCUUGCCACACUCCAAAAUCACAUUGUCUUAUUUUUUGUGUUAUCAUCUGCUCCUCUUUUGGAAUUUACUUUCCAUGAAGAGGGCUGUUGUAUUGUUUAUAAUCCCCAGUAUCUGGUGUAUAUAGCCUGGCACAUAGGAGGCUGCAGAUAAAUAUGUUUUGAACAAAUAAGUGAAUUUCCUUUCAUCCCCUUCUUCUCCCCUAAUAAUAAAGAAACAACAUAACCCAUAUGUUUUGAGAACUUUGAGUCACAUAGCUUGGAACCCAAUGUUUGAUCUUCUUUCUCUGCUCUACUACCUGAUAAAACACUCAGUGCAUUAGCUAAGGUUAACUACGCUUGGCUUCUUCAUGCCUCGCUAUGCAGUGCCCCGGCUUUUCACUAUAGUUAAAGCUUUAUUUAAGGCCCUGGCAGAGGCCACAUCAAUUCUUUCAAGAAAUGGAUGAAAUGAUCCCAGUAACUAUUAGUAGAGAUAAAAGUGAUGCAAAGCACGUCACUUGCUUGCUUUUCAGUUCAAAGAGCUCCACCAAGCUGCUCACUCUUAUUUUUGUCGCUACAGAGUGGCCUGUUUGGGCAUGAGCUCUUAAGGAUGUGUCUGAGGGCUUGGAGGAGCUGGACCAGUUUUAUUUCACGGCAUUCUGUAGGCUGGACCAGGGACUUUGGAAAUUUCUUAACUCAUCCCUUCCUAAAAGACACAAAAUAAUUUGCAUGUGUACCUGAAGAGAUAAAUCAACAGAAGACAAGGGUCAGUCACAGUUAAGCUUUUUAAAAUUAGGCACUCUGUUUGCAGAGUCACAGCCCCAACUACAGAAUCACAGUCUCCUGCUGAGGGGGUUUUGAUCUCUAAAUUGAGCAAGUACCCCAGCUGAUUCUUAUGAGCAGGCAAGUUAGGGAACACCUGAUGUAAUAAGUAAGUGUAUCAAAUCAAGAGUUGAUUUAAUAUAGCACAGGUUAAAAACGGGUUUUCUUUUUGUGAGUGGGAUAAAUACUUUUGUAAGAAAUCAAGUGAAAUAUCUUUUGGGAAGAUUUCUUGAGCUAUAUAUUAUUCAUCCUAGACAUUCAUAGUAUGAGAGGAGACUCAUGAAGCUGGGUAGCUAAUCUCGUCUUUGAAUUCCUUAGAAAUAGAUGAGCAAAUCUUCACCAGCACCUUGCCCUGCGAGAUACUAAUUAAAGGGUGGUUGUUUUUCAGAACGUCUAACUUUCGCCUCACCACUCUCAAACACACCUCAUCCUACCCAUCUACUUUUCCAUUUAUAAUAGACCUUUUUUUUUUUUUUUUUUUUUUUUUACCUUGGAAGGACUGUAUUCUCAAAUGCCAGAAAGAAUAUCAAGUCUCACAGAUUAUUCAGAAAUUCUUUCUUAACAGCUUAAUUGCUGACUUCAGUUAUCUAUUAACUCUGCUGGUUUGAAUGCAGCUGAGAGAUUUAUAGCAUCAACCCAGAGCUAUGCCAUUUACCCCUUGAAUUGAGCUUUCAUUCUAGGUUCUUUUGGUGACUAUUCUAGGGCACAGCUUCUAAGAGGAAGGAACAUUUUGCCUGACUGCUCCUGAAAUUUUUAUAUCUAUGUAUCAGGACAGCAUAAGGAGAUUUUAAAAAAACACAUAUUCCAGGUUCCUGCCUUGGUCCUAAAAUGAUAAAAUCUCCAGGGAAAGAGCUGGGAAGCUUUAUUUUAGCAAAAAUCCCAGGGGAUUGUCCUGCCUCCAGUCCUGCACCAGCCUUGGACUAUGCCAGCAUUGAGAAUCAUCUGACGUAAUCAACACUGAAUUCAGACACAGGAUACUAGGAGAAGUUGGUAGUCUGCAACCCAGAAGAGGGCCCUCCCCAGAAGCCAACCAGGCUGGCACCCCGAUCUUGGGCUUCCAGCCUCCAGAACGAGAUACUAAUUCAUCAAUUCAUGCUUGAUACUUGGAAAGAAGCUAUACAAUGCUCCCCCCUCCCCAGUCUCCUGGAGUCAACAUUGAGUAUUUUUGACACACUCAGGAUGUCUUCCACAUGGGCUCACAAAUAAUAGAAGACUCAUCAGCUUUCACAUGGCAUCCGUGUUUUUUCCUCCUGCCUCAAGGCAAUUAAUUUAACAACGGAGUCUCUGUCACCCAGGCUGAAUCGCAGUGGCACA